Molecule: ribosomal RNA, 253 nt
Filed under: uncultured bacterium
Lineage: Bacteria
Description: partial 16S ribosomal RNA
Rfam family: Bacterial small subunit ribosomal RNA
Source: RNAcentral
UACGUGGGGGGCAAGCGUUGUUCGGAAUCAUUGGGCGUAAAGGGUGCGUAGGCCGCACGGUAAGUCAGAGGUGAAAUCCCGGAGCUCAACUCCGGAAUGGCCUCCGAUACUGCCGUGCUCGAGGACUGGAGAGGAGUCUGGAAUUCACAGUGGAGCAGUGAAAUGCGUAGAUAUUGUGAGGAACACUAGUGGCGAAGGCGAGACUCUGGACAGUUCCUGACGCUGAGGCGCGAAGGCCAGGGGAGCAAACGGG